Molecule: long non-coding RNA, 1471 nt
Organism: Lathyrus oleraceus (garden pea)
Lineage: Eukaryota; Viridiplantae; Streptophyta; Magnoliopsida; Fabales; Fabaceae
Exons: 2
Source: RefSeq, a predicted model, not a curated record
UAAAGGAAAGGGUGAGUUUAGAGUAACCAUUAAUACAUGCCCGAGGGAUUUGAGCCAAGGGGCUCCCAAAAUGACUUCUGCUCCACUAAGAGGCAAACCAUAAAAGCCAAUUUUGAAAAGACUUAUUUGAAGCGUUAGAGCCACGUCAGCACACAGGUGUUAGCCUUCUAGCAAGUGGUCAUUACCACCCAUAAAUUUAAGCAUGUUAACUGGAGUUGAUGGAAGGUUCAAUAAUUUUUCCAUGUGGCUCUGAAUGAAAUUGUGUGUGCUACCACCAUCGAUAAGCACUGUGACGGUGUGAUGGGAGUUUUGUUCGAGAAUGCGAAUAGUGGUGGAUGCUAGGGAUCCUGAAAGAGCAUGGAAAUUGAUUUGGCUGUCAAAGUUGGAGGUGAUAUCCGAGAGUAACUAUGUUUGUGGCAAGUCAUCGAAUAUGGUGUUGUCGGUUAUGGAGUCUGAUUCGUCAAAAACAAGGAGGGAGAAUUUGACUUUACAUUUGUGACAAAGGAUGAAAGUUUCAUCGCAGUUGUAGCAAAGGCUCUUUUCACGCCGUGAGGAUAUUUCAUCAGGGAAGAGUUUACGAAAUUAUACACAUGGAGGGUUUUGUAAGAGAGGUAUGAUGAUGGUGUUUAAGAAGGUGGGUGGAUUGGUAAUAGAUUUAUGUUUGAAUCCCUUUCUGCAAUAUUUGAUUUUAUCUUGUAAUUUGGUUAGCAAUGUCGCAUGAGCAAGGGUUGUUGGUUGAGGGUUUGUACCUCUCGCUGGAUUUCUAGGGAGAGACCUGAGAUGAAACAGUUGAGGAGGAAGGGUUGUGGAAGACCUACGAUUAGGUUGGCUUGCGUCGUCGUAGUAACUAAGUGCACAACGGGUUUCCAGAGCUUGUAACAAACCAAACUAGGUGGCGAUGAGGCCAUUGCGGUGCAUUCACUAAAACCAGCUCCUUGCAAGGCUGUCCAUGUAGAAGGAAGCCACGACGAUACGUUCUUCUUCCGGGACGUGGUGGUAAUCGAAUAACUAAUUGAUCUUGAAGAUUCGGUCCAUGGCGUCAAUGUCAUCAAAGUGGGGAACCUCUAAAUUCAUGUGUGAGAGGAAUGGUGGUGGUGUGGGAGGUGGGGGUGAAGGUGGAGUUGGUUGAGUUGUGAGGAUAGUUUGUUGGAUGAUGAUUAAAUAAACCUUUUCCGCUAAAUCACAAGGCGUUUGGCGUGUGUUGGUCUGUCGACCAUUUAAGAAGAAGUGGAGGAGCAAUGAAAGCACAAAAUUAUUAAGGGUAACUUCCUUGAUUUGUAGGACAAGGGGCAUCCACAAGAGAGUAAGAGAGAAGAAGGUUUUUGAAAUUUUCUUGUUGCCUUUUCUCAUUCAGCCAAAUCGAUACACGGUAUGAUGAGUUGUAAUUCUUCUAGAAUCAUAUGAGUCUUUAUUCAUGCUUCCUUGCUUUCCUCACUCAUAAUUAUUGAGAUAGUUGGGUAUGUUUCUGAUU